RNAcentral lists this unclassified non-coding RNA (345 nucleotides) under soil metagenome. RNAcentral's name for it is "partial contains 5.8S ribosomal RNA, internal transcribed spacer 2, and large subunit ribosomal RNA". The stretch from base 1 to 120 matches the Rfam family "5.8S ribosomal RNA", at positions 35 to 154 of the family's 154-position model. The record is from RNAcentral.
GAUGAAGAACGCAGCGAAAUGCGAUACGUAAUGUGAAUUGCAGAAUUCAGUGAAUCAUCGAGUCUUUGAACGCACAUUGCGCCCCCUGGUAUUCCGGGGGGCAUGCCUGUCCGAGCGUCAUUGCUGCCCUCAAGCACGGCUUGUGUGUUGGGCCUCCGUCCUCCUCCCGGGGGACGGGCCCGAAAGGCAGCGGCGGCACCCCGUCCGGUCCUCGAGCGUAUGGGGCUUCGUCACCCGCUCUUGUAGGCCCGGCCGGCGCUUGCCGACACAUCAAUCUUUUUUCCAGGUUGACCUCGGAUCAGGUAGGGAUACCCGCUGAACUUAAGCAUAUCAAUAAGCGGAGGA